UGGGGAAUAUUGCGCAAUGGGGGGAACCCUGACGCAGCCAUGCCGCGUGGAUGAAGAAGGCCUUCGGGUUGUAAAGUUCUUUCGGUAUUGAGGAAGGUUGAUGUGUUAAUAGCACAUCAAAUUGACGUUAAAUACAGAAGAAGCACCGGCUAACUCCGUGCCAGCAGCCGCGGUAAUACGGAGGGUGCGAGCGUUAAUCGGAAUAACUGGGCGUAAAGGGCACGCAGGCGGUUAUUUAAGUGAGGUGUGAAAGCCCUGGGCUUAACCUAGGAAUUGCAUUUCAGACUGGGUAACUAGAGUACUUUAGGGAGGGGUAGAAUUCCACGUGUAGCGGUGAAAUGCGUAGAGAUGUGGAGGAAUACCGAAGGCGAAGGCAGCCCCUUGGGAAUGUACUGACGCUCAUGUGCGAAAGCGUGGGGAGCAAACAGGAUUAGAUACCCUGGUAGUCCACGCUGUAAACGCUGUCGAUUUGGGGGUUGGGGUUUAACUCUGGCGCCCGUAGCUAACGUGAUAAAUCGACCGCCUGGGGAGUACGGCCGCAAGGUUA
Molecule: ribosomal RNA, 547 nt
Filed under: uncultured bacterium
Lineage: Bacteria
Description: bacterial SSU rRNA
Rfam family: Bacterial small subunit ribosomal RNA
Source: RNAcentral